RNAcentral lists this ribosomal RNA (482 nucleotides) under uncultured bacterium. RNAcentral describes it as "bacterial SSU rRNA". It matches the Rfam family "Bacterial small subunit ribosomal RNA", at positions 30 to 507 of the family's 1533-position model. The record is from RNAcentral.
AUUGAACGCUGGCGGCAUGCCUUACACAUGCAAGUCGAACGGUAACAGGUCUUCGGAUGCUGACGAGUGGCGAACGGGUGAGUAAUACAUCGGAACGUGCCCGAUCGUGGGGGAUAACGGAGCGAAAGCUUUGCUAAUACCGCAUACGAUCUACGGAUGAAAGCAGGGGACCGCAAGGCCUUGCGCGGACGGAGCGGCCGAUGGCAGAUUAGGUAGUUGGUGGGAUAAAAGCUUACCAAGCCGACGAUCUGUAGCUGGUCUGAGAGGACGACCAGCCACACUGGGACUGAGACACGGCCCAGACUCCUACGGGAGGCAGCAGUGGGGAAUUUUGGACAAUGGGCGAAAGCCUGAUCCAGCCAUGCCGCGUGCAGGAUGAAGGCCUUCGGGUUGUAAACUGCUUUUGUACGGAACGAAAAGACUCCUUCUAAUAAAGGGGGUCCAUGACGGUACCGUAAGAAUAAGCACCGGCUAACUACGUG